GUACCAGGAAGCGCUGGGGGGCAGAGGAGCGGAGUUGAGGCAGAAGCCAGUCAGGAUGGUGGUGCCUUCGCUGAAGCUUCAGGACCUCAUCGAAGAGAUUCGCGGGGCCAAGACUCAGGCCCAGGAGCGGGAGGUGAUCCAAAAGGAGUGUGCCCACAUCCGGGCCUCCUUCCGCGACGGGGACCCAGUGCACAGGCACCGGCAGCUGGCCAAACUGCUCUACGUCCACAUGUUGGGCUACCCCGCCCACUUUGGACAGAUGGAGUGCCUGAAACUGAUCGCCUCCUCCAGAUUCACAGACAAGAGGGUGGGCUACCUGGGGGCCAUGCUUCUAUUGGAUGAGAGGCACGAUGCCCACCUGCUCAUUACCAACAGCAUCAAGAAUGACCUGAGCCAGGGGAUUCAGCCAGUACAAGGCCUGGCCUUGUGCACUUUGAGCACCAUGGGCUCUGCUGAGAUGUGCCGAGACCUGGCCCCAGAGGUGGAGAAACUGCUCCUGCAGCCCAGUCCCUACGUGCGCAAGAAGGCUAUUCUGACUGCAGUGCACAUGAUCCGGAAGGUCCCUGAACUCUCCAGUGUCUUCCUCCCACCCUGUGCCCAACUGCUUCAUGAGCGUCACCAUGGUAAGGCUGUGGGGCCCCCCAUCCUUUGCUUCAGGUCUAUGGACAGAAGAAUUGAAAAUCGGAUGGGAACCCCAGCUCAUAGGAGAAUGGUAGUGCACACACACAGGCACACACGCAAUAGACUCUCUUGCCCCUGGCCCCCACCAUUCACUUCCCCGACCCUGACCCCAGGCAUCCUGCUGGGCACCAUCACGCUGAUCACGGAGCUCUGCGAACGAAGCCCUGCAGCCCUCAGGCACUUCCGAAAGGUGGGCUGGUGAAGGGGCAGGCCCUGGGCCUGGAAGAGAGGGUCAGUGGGGAAGGAAUGGGGCUUUAGCUGGAGAGGAUUAGAACGAAUGCCCAAAGUUGUGCCCUCCCUCCAGGUGGUACCCCAGCUGGUACACAUCCUCCGGACUCUGGUGACAAUGGGAUACUCCACAGAACACAGCAUAUCUGGAGUCAGCGACCCCUUCCUGCAGGUCCAGAUACUUCGUCUGCUUCGGAUCCUGGGCCGGAACCACGAGGAGAGCAGUGAGACCAUGAAUGACUUGCUGGCCCAGGUGGGGCCUGGGAGGGCACUGGUUAGCUGUGUUGCUUGGAGACCCCAUCAGCCCUGGGUGCCCCUCACAUGACUCGUCACUGUGCAGUGGCCGUGUAAUUGCCUCUCCAUCUCCUCUAGACAGUGAACUCCAUGAAGAA
RNAcentral lists this small RNA (1301 nucleotides) under Pan troglodytes (chimpanzee). RNAcentral's name for it is "retained intron". Lineage: Eukaryota; Metazoa; Chordata; Mammalia; Primates; Hominidae. The record is from RNAcentral.